This 201-nucleotide long non-coding RNA is filed under the name Elaeis guineensis (African oil palm). RNAcentral's name for it is "long non-coding RNA (EGUI_LNC036704)". Lineage: Eukaryota; Viridiplantae; Streptophyta; Magnoliopsida; Arecales; Arecaceae. The record is from RNAcentral.
UGCAACAACAACUUCAAAUCUUAGAUAUAAAGUCCCUAGUAAUAUAUCAAUAAUGUAUAAUCCUCUUUGAAAUAAUUCUAUUUUAUCAACACAUAGUAGUCAAAUUUUUAUACUAUAAAAUAAAUGUACGAUAAUAAAUCUAUACAAGUAUUUUAAGAGUGGUAACGUCUCUUAGAGAGAAGGGAUUUUUUACUCCUUGCA